CAGCCGCCGCGGUAAUACGUAGGUGGCGAGCGUUGUCCGGAAUUACUGGGCGUAAAGGGCGUGUAGGCGGGGGUACAAGUCAGGUGUGAAAUACCGCGGCUCAACUGCGGGGGUGCAUCUGAAACUGUACUUCUUGAGUGUCGGAGAGGAAAGCGGAAUUCCCAGUGUAGCGGUGAAAUGCGUAGAGAUUGGGAGGAACACCAGUGGCGAAGGCGGCUUUCUGGACGACAACUGACGCUGAGGCGCGAAAGCGUGGGGAGCGAACAGGAUUAGAUACCCUGGUAGUCCACGCUGUAAACGAUGGAUACUAGGUGUAGGAGGUAUCGACCCCUUCUGUGCCGGAGUUAACACAAUAAGUAUCCCGCCUGGGGAGUACGGCCGCAAGGCUGAAACUCAAAGGAAUUGACGGGGGCCCGCACAAGCAGUGGAGUAUGUGGUUUAAUUCGAAGCAACGCGAAGAACCUUACCAGGGCUUGACAUCCCUCUGACGUAUCUGGAGACAGGUAUUCCCUUCGGGGCGGAGGAGACAGGUGGUGCAUGGCC
Molecule: ribosomal RNA, 543 nt
Filed under: uncultured archaeon
Lineage: Archaea
Description: bacterial SSU rRNA
Rfam family: Bacterial small subunit ribosomal RNA
Source: RNAcentral